UACGGGGGAUGCAAGCGUUAUCCGGAUUUAUUGGGUUUAAAGGGUGCGUAGGCGGAUUGAUAAGUUAGAGGUGAAAUGUCCGAGCUUAACUCGGGAACUGCCUCUAAUACUGUUGAUCUAGAGAGUAGAUGCGGUAGGCGGAAUGUAUGGUGUAGCGGUGAAAUGCUUAGAGAUCAUACAGAACACCGAUUGCGAAGGCAGCUUACCAAUCUGUAUCUGACGUUGAGGCACGAAAGCGUGGGGAGCAAACAGG
This 253-nucleotide ribosomal RNA is filed under the name uncultured bacterium. RNAcentral describes it as "partial 16S ribosomal RNA". It matches the Rfam family "Bacterial small subunit ribosomal RNA", at positions 524 to 776 of the family's 1533-position model. The record is from RNAcentral.